This 37-nucleotide ribosomal RNA is filed under the name Niphargus sp. 1 ZH-2022a. Its description in RNAcentral is "partial 12S ribosomal RNA". The record is from RNAcentral. Lineage: Eukaryota; Metazoa; Arthropoda; Malacostraca; Amphipoda; Niphargidae.
UCGAAACAAAGUAGGUUUAUUGGAAAGUGAGUCUGAA